This 380-nucleotide ribosomal RNA is filed under the name uncultured eukaryote. RNAcentral describes it as "partial 18S ribosomal RNA". It matches the Rfam family "Eukaryotic small subunit ribosomal RNA", at positions 592 to 976 of the family's 1831-position model. The record is from RNAcentral.
CAAUAGCGUAUAUUAAAGUUGUUGCAGUUAAAAAGCUCGUAGUUGGAUUUGUGGCGUACGGUGUGUUCCGGGCACUUGUUGUCUGAGUAACCUGCUGUUGCCAUCCUUGGGUGGAACCUGUGUGGCAUUAGGUUGUCGUGCAGGGGAUGCCCAUCAUUUACUGUGAAAAAAUUAGAGUGUUCAAAGCAGGCUUGUGCCGUUGAAUAUAUUAGCAUGGAAUAAUGAGAUAGGACUUUCUUGCUAUUUUGUUGGUUUGCGCAAAGAGGUAAUGAUUAAUAGGGACAGUUGGGGGUAUUCGUAUUCCAUUGUCAGAGGUGAAAUUCUUGGAUUUUUGGAAGACGAACUACUGCGAAAGCAUUUACCAAGGAUGUUUUCAUUAA